This is a long non-coding RNA of Rhincodon typus (whale shark), 313 nucleotides long. RefSeq lists it as uncharacterized. The transcript has 3 exons. The record is from RefSeq and is a predicted model, not a curated record. Lineage: Eukaryota; Metazoa; Chordata; Chondrichthyes; Orectolobiformes; Rhincodontidae.
CCACAUUGUUGCAGUGAGGGAAGCAAGGCAUCUGGGAUCUGAAUGAACAGGGAAAGCACCUCUUCAAAUUAAAGUGAAUGUAAUGUCAAAUCAGGUUUGAGUAAACUGUGGAGAGGUAUCUGUGAGAUCUACAGAAGACCCUUACUCUCUACAGAGAGAGAGAGAGAGAGAGAGAGAAAGAGAUACAGACAGGACGCAUAUUCUUCCACAUGGUCGGUUUGGACUUGUUGGACCGAAUGGCCUGUUUCUACACGGGAGAAGACACAAGUCGAGCGGAGAGAGAGAAAAAGAAAGUGACACUGGUGCAUUGGUG